CUCGUCGACGCUUAUCAGCAUAACUCUUUUGCCUACUCUGGGCUAUCAACAAUCGCUCCCGAGCAAUGCGAACCUUGUCCUCUGCUUCCUGGAGCACAUCGGGGCCUAAAGCCAAUCUCUCGCCAACUUCACUCCAAUGAAGUGGCGAUCUACACUUUCGUCCGUAGAGUGCCUCGAAAGGUGCCAUCUUGAUGCUUGCUUGAUAACUGUUGUUAUAAGCAAACUCUGCCAUCGGUAGAUGCUGCGACCAUCC
RNAcentral lists this long non-coding RNA (253 nucleotides) under Ananas comosus (pineapple). RNAcentral describes it as "long non-coding RNA (ACOM_LNC026199)". The record is from RNAcentral. Lineage: Eukaryota; Viridiplantae; Streptophyta; Magnoliopsida; Poales; Bromeliaceae.